GUUAGGUGCUAUCUAGAAUAUGACUACUUUGCUGAUAGCUGGUGUCUUGAAAGUUUAUUAUUCUUCCUUUUCUCUGUUUUUAGGCUGAAUCCACCGUCUAAUUUAUUCUCCAAAAAGUUGCAGAAGAGUGUUGUGGAACACCGCUGGGAGCUGAACAUAGAUAACCCAACUAGAACAGAUACGGAUGCGUUGUUGGUGUAGGCUCCCUUUGAUGCAUAACUAGAACAGAUACUGAAUUAUGCCACUCGAGUCGCAGAUAGUUUUUUGUCCACCGGGAAUUAUGCUCUUAAUAUUUCAAUCCAACGUUACAAACCCUAUGGAGUUCAAUGCCAACAGUUUGGCCAGUUGCAAAUGGUGAAUUCAGUCUCACAAACCCCACAAUCUAAUUUGGAGGUAAAUUCUCUUCACCUAAGCAGUCCUCAGGAAAGACCUUCCAGUGAGUUUUAAGAGGUAGAGUUUCAUUCUGGGCAUGAGCGUUUCUAAGCUAAUCAACAUCAUAUUUCUUCUUUUUAUGUCAAGCUUGGCCAACUUCAUACGUUUGCAGGUAAGUGCGCAUUCACGUCUAUAUUAGUUCUUAUGUAUUCGACCUACUUAAUUUGUUGUUUUUCUUUGGUAUAUGAGAAUAACCACAGAAUUGCUUUGUAUAGAAAAUAAAGUUUCUGUACUAUAGGUUGCAGUGACAUUAUUUCUUUUACUUCAAGGUGAGCAUGGUUGAUUAUCUACACUUCCCUGGCUAUAUAAGCUGAAUAAAUAUUCUUGAUUUUCUACAAAUUGUGAUUUCCCUGGCUAUUCAAGGUGAGCAUUGCUUUGUGAUUUUGGUUGCUCCAGCAAAAAGUAGGUUCAAGUAUGCCAUGUGGGGCAUAUAUUAAGCUGAUUUUCCUUUUUUUUAAUUUACCUAACUACCCCCAACGAUUGUAACCGUUGGGGUAUAUAUUAAGCUUUCCAUGUUUGAUAUAUCUUGGUUAGUUGGUUAUGUGUACUUGUGUAUCAGAUUAAGCUUUCCAUGUUUGAUAUCGUCACUUGGAAAACAAAUACAUUAGCUCAACCUGACUUACUGCAGACGAAAUUGCAAUGUUCGAUGGAUACAUUGUCGUCUACAAAUUUGUCUAGGACCUGCACUUUUUUAUCAUUGCAGGUGAUGAUGAAAAUGUACUCAUCUUAGCAACAGUUCUUCAGGGCUUCUAUGAUGCUGUCGUCAAUCUUCUCAGCUACACAACAGAAGUUGGAGAUGGAUGGUGAAGAUGGGAAGAAGAAGUCAGAGACGUGAUGAAGGAAAGGCUUGUAACGUUGAUAAGACAUGAGUUCUCCGUAGUCUUUAUUGUUCAAGUCUACUUUAUCAUGAUUGUUGGAUUUGUUAAUAAAACAUGUGUCAAACACUUGUUAUUUGUUUAAUAGAAUUGCGUUUAAAUUUAUUUA
Asparagus officinalis (garden asparagus) is the source of this 1416-nucleotide long non-coding RNA. RefSeq lists it as uncharacterized. The transcript has 3 exons. The record is from RefSeq and is a predicted model, not a curated record. NCBI's taxonomy places the organism in Eukaryota, Viridiplantae, Streptophyta, Magnoliopsida, Asparagales, Asparagaceae.